This 754-nucleotide non-coding RNA is filed under the name Daphnia pulex (common water flea). RNAcentral describes it as "small subunit ribosomal RNA". The stretch from base 352 to 748 matches the Rfam family "Microsporidia small subunit ribosomal RNA", at positions 752 to 1303 of the family's 1311-position model. The record is from RNAcentral. Lineage: Eukaryota; Metazoa; Arthropoda; Branchiopoda; Diplostraca; Daphniidae.
UUAGGGAAAGUUUGAAUCUGGCUUUGGCUCUAUUUUGAGUUAAAUCUAUAUAUAAACAGGGGAUUUAAAUAAAACAAUAAGUAGUAGUAAGUUUUAGGAAACAAAUAUUUGGGCCUAGUUAAACUCAUAGAAUUGACUAAAAUCGUGCCAGCCGUCGCGGUUAGACGAAGAAUUUUAGUAGAGUAAAAGUUUUGUUUAGUUAACAUUCGAUCUCGUAAAAGAUGGUGAAAUUUUGUUGAUAAGGUGAAAUUUUUAAUUUAAGGGAAAUUCUUAAGAAAUCUGUUGAGACUAAAAAAUUUAGGUAAAAAACCAGGAUUAGAUACCCUGUUAUUCUAAAUAAUAGUUUAAAUAGGGUAGUAAAAGUUGUUCUUCAAACCCAAAGAUUUUGGCGGCAUCUUAUCCUAAUAGAGGAGCUUGUCCUAUAAUUGAUAGUCCCCAUUUUAUCUUACCCUUUUUUUGUUAAGCUUGUAUACCGCCGUUGUCAGAUUACUUUAAAAGAACGUUUUCAGGAAAAAUAUUUUUCUUACUUCAGGUCAAGGUGCAGUUUAUAAAAGGGCAGUGAUGAGCUACAAUUUUUAAUAGAAAUACGGAUUUUAGGCUUAAAACUCAGGUGAAGGUGGAUUUAUUAGUAAAUUUACUUAAGUACAGUAAGUUGAAUAAGGCAAUAGGAUGUGCACAUAUCGCCCGUCACUCUCUUCUCAAGAGGAGAUAAGUCGUAACAAAGUAGAUGUACUGGAAAGUGCAUCUAGAAUGA